RNAcentral lists this ribosomal RNA (462 nucleotides) under uncultured Flavobacteriales bacterium. RNAcentral's name for it is "bacterial SSU rRNA". It matches the Rfam family "Bacterial small subunit ribosomal RNA", at positions 28 to 505 of the family's 1533-position model. Lineage: Bacteria; Pseudomonadati; Bacteroidota; Flavobacteriia; Flavobacteriales. The record is from RNAcentral.
GAUGAACGCUAGCGGGAGGCUUAAUACAUGCAAGUCGAGGGGUAACAGGUUCUUCGGAACGCUGACGACCGGCGCACGGGUGAGUAACGCGUACGGAACUGCCUUAUACUGGAGGACACACACUGGAAACAGAGUAAAUACUCCAUAGUCUCGCAAGAGUAAAGCUCCGGCGGAUAAGGAUGGGUAUGCGUCCUAUUAGUUAGUUGGUGAGGUAACGGCUCACCAAGACAGCGAUAGGUAGGGGGUCUGAGAGGAUUAUCCCCCACACUGGUACUGAGACACGGACCAGACUCCUACGGGAGGCAGCAGUGAGGAAUAUUGGGCAAUGGACGAAAGUCUGACCCAGCCAUGCCGCGUGCAGGAAGACGGCCCUACGGGUUGUAAACUGCUUUUGUAUAGGAAGAAACCCCUUUACGUGUAGAGGGCUGACGGUACUAUACGAAUAAGCACCGGCUAACUCCG